RNAcentral lists this long non-coding RNA (1988 nucleotides) under Elaeis guineensis (African oil palm). Its description in RNAcentral is "long non-coding RNA (EGUI_LNC026720)". Lineage: Eukaryota; Viridiplantae; Streptophyta; Magnoliopsida; Arecales; Arecaceae. The record is from RNAcentral.
UUUUCUCGGAUCUUUGCUCUCGGUAGCUUCCGACCUCCCUGUCCCAGUGGACACAGCCGCCUCGCUUGAUGUCCCCUCCAUUGGCUGCCUGAGGUCACAAUGCCCCCUUUGCCGGCUGCCUAAGGCCGUUCACCAUUGUCGAGACUUGAAAGCCCCCUCCCCUCACGUUCAGCCUGAACCAUAGCAUCACCUCUCCCCUCUACUUCUCGAGGCCACUGCUCACUGCCAUCGAGAGCCUUUCGCUUACCUCCACUCUCAACUGCUAACUGCUCACUGCCGCUCACCGGUGUUGAGAUCCCCUCCCUCCUUUGAGGCCCCCAAAGACUGCUGUUGAGAGCCCUCCUUUCACCUUCAGCCCUCACCGCAACACUGCCCCUCCCUUUUUUGAGGCUGCCGCUCAUUGGCAUCAAGAGCACCUCCCCUCCCCUCCUUGAGGCCACUGCUUCACCUCAGCCCAUACUGUAGCAUGCAGCCUCUGGCCCUCCCGAUUUGCACAGAAAAGCAUUUUCAGACCUUUUUCUUCGUUUUGAUUGAUCUGCAUGCAGCCUCCAGAUUUCAUUAGAGAUAAUGGUUUCUUUUUCUCAAAUCCAGUUAAGCGUAGUAUGGAAUAAAAUAAGAUGUUUGAUAUCGUCCAUUUGCUUUCAGUAACCCCCAACACAAUGCAAAAUAAAAUAAAACCCAUUCAGGAUCGGUUGUGUUCCUAACAUACUAUAGGAUAUCCCCUAAUAUCUUGUGAGCUCAACAAUUAAGUAAUAGGAGGAAUGAACAAACUGUAAGCAAGGUGCAAGUUUUACUUCUUUUCAAAGGUUUAAAGCUGGAAACCCUAGUUGAUUUGCCUUUUCUGAUAAAAUAGGUUGGUCUAUUGAUACUGAAAUUAUGAAAAGGAAAUCACAAGCAAAGGAAUGGCUGGGGAAGGAGAUAAUGGGGGAAGAAGGGUAGCGGAGUGGGAUGAGUCCUUUGAUCUGUGGAUCCAUGAAUAUAUUAGGAGAAUAAGAGAAAAGGAGAGGAGAAGGGAUGCUACCUGAGUCGCAGAGUGAGGCACUGGAGGAGGAAGGAGGCGAGGGGGAGUAGGUGGCUCUAGUGAGGAUAGCGGGCGAAGGGUGAUUCCCAGUGGCAGAGAUGCUUAGAAGAGCAUAGUUAAGGUGCUUGGGCCUGUAUUUAUACUUAUAUACCAGUCAGUUCAGUUGAUUUUCUUUAAAACUUAAAACUGAAAAUAAGCAGACUUGUCCUUUUCAAACUGAUGUCAGAUUGAACAAAACUCUGACCCAAACUGAGCCAAAAUAAUCAGUUUGGAUGGGUUACCUUGGAUGAUCUUGACCAUCCCUUAGGUUUGUUUAACGGCAGCAUAUUGUUAUAGUCUGGUUUCUACAGUCUUCUUUCAUAAAAUCAAUCCUGUGCUUUAAUUAACAUGAGCAAAGUCAAACUCCAAACCUGACUCAACUCCAAAACUUUCAUUAUUUCUUAUUUUCCUUCAAGUCUGCUAAAGCUUAUUGUACGCUAUCUUGCAUAGUCUAAUCUAUAUAAUUUAAUGUGAUCAUGUGUUCAAGGACUAGCUGAUCUGUGAAUUUCUAUUAGCAGAAGCUACAAAUGAUAAUGAGCAUGUUGAUGGAAAAGGACCAUAUGCUCCGGCUGUGAAUUCACCAGUAAUAUCUCAACUCAUACUUGUAAACACCAAAACUACUGAUAUUAUCUCAGAUCCAUGAAAGGGGGCACCUACUGAUAUGGUUGUUGGAGGAAUUCCAUCAUCCAUAUGUCGACAUACAGAUGAUCAAAGAAUUGUUGACUUGUUGAUUACCGAACAUAUUGACUUGUUGAUUACUGAACAUAUUGUUCUCUUUUGUGUUGUCUUUUGAUGCAUAACAGCAAUUGCGUUAUUUGCAAUGUGCCAUUUCUUGGCUUUUCAGAUUGUACUUAAAAUGUCAUCAAUUAUACUUUAUGUGCCAUUUAUACCCAUGCAUUUGUUAUUUUUUCCCUGUGGUUUUGAAUUU